GCCUUUAGUAACCAGCUGUGACUGAGAGGAGUGACCAUUACUCUAGGCAAGUCUGUGAAAUCAACAUUUAGAUGGUCAGAACAGAUCCAGAUGGCCACUGUUACUCUGUUCUUCGCCUGACUUGGCCACCUUGCAGAUGCCUUUUAGAUCAGUGCAGAUCACUCCCACGAUUGGCUAAACAACAGCUCUCAAGGACACUUCCUAUUAAAGGAGAGAAGAAACACAGGGAGCUUUGAGUCAGCUAAGGUGUCCUGAAGAAGUAGGAGCUGUUCCAAGAACAGAAGGAAUGCAUGGGCAUCUGCGGUUGUGUUUAUUGAUCAGGUAGGAAGGGGGCUGGUGAACACAAAGAAGGCUCCAUGGCGAGCUUUCCACUGAGGAUU
RNAcentral lists this long non-coding RNA (380 nucleotides) under Mustela putorius furo (domestic ferret). Its description in RNAcentral is "lncRNA (ENSMPUG00000028885.1)". The record is from RNAcentral. Lineage: Eukaryota; Metazoa; Chordata; Mammalia; Carnivora; Mustelidae.